This 440-nucleotide ribosomal RNA is filed under the name uncultured bacterium. Its description in RNAcentral is "bacterial SSU rRNA". It matches the Rfam family "Bacterial small subunit ribosomal RNA", at positions 360 to 793 of the family's 1533-position model. The record is from RNAcentral.
AAUAUUGCACAAUGGGCGCAAGCCUGAUGCAGCCAUGCCGCGUGUAUGAAGAAGGCCUUCGGGUUGUAAAGUACUUUCAGCAGUGAGGAAGGUGGGUAUGUUAAUAGCAUAUUCAUUUGACGUUAGCUGCAGAAGAAGCACCGGCUAACUCCGUGCCAGCAGCCGCGGUAAUACGGAGGGUGCGAGCGUUAAUCGGAAUUACUGGGCGUAAAGCGCAUGCAGGUGGUUUGUUAAGUCAGAUGUGAAAGCCCGGGGCUCAACCUCGGAAUUGCAUUUGAAACUGGCAAACUAGAGUACUGUAGAGGGGGUAGAAUUUCAGGUGUAGCGGUGAAAUGAGUAGAGAUCUGAAGGAAUACCGGUGGCGAAGGCGGCCCCCUGGACAGAUACUGACACUCAGAUGCGAAAGCGUGGGGAGCAAACAGGAUUAGAUACCCUCGUAG